GCUACACCCGGAAGCCUCUCCAGGGAGAGGAAGCCGGCGGCCUCACCGCUAUGGGCCGCAACAAGAAGAAGCAGCGAGAUGGCGACGACCGGCGGCCCAGGCUCGUUCUUAGCUUCGACGAGGAGAAGAGGCGGGAGUACCUGACAGGCUUCCACAAGCGGAAGGUUGAGCGAAAGAAGGCAGCCAUUGAGGAGAUUAAGCAGCGGCUGAAAGAGGAGCAGAGGAAGCUCCGGGAGGAGGUGCGCAGGGGGAAGAUGGGAGGGAGGUCUUUGAUUCUUAGGGCACUUGCAGCCUUGGAUUUCCCUAAUAGAGGCAGCUGCUGGCAUGGGGCGGUAUGUGUGUGGGCAGGACUGGGGAACAGUUUAUACAGGUGGAGACUCCAUGGGCCCGGGUCUGGGAGUGAUGGAAGAUGGAGUCUCCUCCUGAUCUUGCAGUAUGGAUCAUGGUCUCCCUCACCCUGGGGGUGAUUAAUACCCCAGCCUGAGGUUGGACUAAGAGGCCAUACUCACUGCGGUCCCUGCCC
Molecule: small RNA, 523 nt
Filed under: Pongo abelii (Sumatran orangutan)
Lineage: Eukaryota; Metazoa; Chordata; Mammalia; Primates; Hominidae
Description: retained intron
Source: RNAcentral